AUUUGUGCCAUCCUUCAACCUUCCAGCCGAGAGGAGCUUGAGAGAAGAAUAAAGAAAUUUCUCUUGUUUUGCUUCCACUUCAACCAAGAGGAACCAGAGAGAGAACACUUAAAGGAAGCUUGUGUCUUACUUCCAUUUCCAGCUUGCUUGAUCGGGUAGAAGGACCAAAACAGGGGAGUUAACUUCUAGCUUGUGUCAAAGGUAACAUGACUUGGAAUUUCAAUUUCUUUCACAUACUUUAAAAGGCUUUUGAUGUAUGUUUGGUUGAGGUUGGAUUGAGGUAGAAACAGGUUGUAGAGACUUGCUUUAUUGCUGGAAAUUUUCCAGCUUGGAUUGAACUAGGAAUAACCAUUUGUUUCUAGUUUUUGGCUCUUGUUUUUCUGCAAGUUACUAGGGAAUCCUUGAAUCCCUUUUGAUAGAUGAAGCUUGGUGUAAAUAUAGCAUCCAGUGAGCUAGUGGUUGGUCAAAUGAAAUUUCCAUAUUUGACCGAGGGAGAAACAUGAGCUCAAUUUACAGCUUUUCUUGUGAAAUUUGAGGAGUUUCCACUAGGAAGUUUGCUAUAAAUGUUAUAUUCUUGUUUCGUAUGAUAUAUAGCAUGCUGUAUUUGAUCUUGGUAGAAAUUGCUGGCUUAGAUGUGAGAUUGGCAGCAAUAAAGUUGAAGUAACUCUUGUGAAAGCUUGAAAUUGUCCGAAGUGGGAGAGAGGAAGAGUUGAGCUUCACCUUUGGUUUUGUUGAAAUUUGAUGCUUAAAUUAUGUUAAAGUUGGAUAUGAAUGUCAUACUUAAGUGUAUGAGUGGUUUGAAUAAAUUUUUUUGUGGUUUUAAAAGAGAAAGGAGUUUUUCACAAGUGAAAAAUGAGUUUCCAGAUUUUUGGCUUUCACUGACCAGUCUCAGUAAAAUGCUUAUAUCUUGAUGUAGAAAAAUCCGAUUGAGGUACCGUCAGUGGCAUCGGAAACUAGACUCAUGGCCUUCGUUCUGUAAAAAUUUCAUAUUUUUCCUCCAGGUGUACUGCUGUCCGUGAUUCCUCAAAGUAGGCUGUCCUGCUUGAAUGUCCUGUUUUUGCAGGAAAACGAAUUUGUAACUUAGAUGAUGAAUCUGCCCUGUUUUUGCACUGCCUGGUUGUCCAUGGUAAAGGCCAAACCAGGUCCUGCUCAGAACAUGAAUUGUAGAUACUUGAGUUAAAUAUAUGCCUGCAAAUUUUCAGCCCAAUUGGAGCAACGUAGCUUGUGAAAAGACUGAAAUACCCCUGCUGCCUUGUUUCUAUCCGAACAUGCUAAUCAGCUUCUGUAAUUGGUUGUUUUGACCAGGAAUACCACUGAUUUGGUUGUUGAUGUCUUCUUAAGACUUAUAGCCUUGAAUCUUAGCUUUCAAAUGGCUUUGGAAUCACUUGAAUUGGAGUUGUAUAUGUUGAGAUAUGACUGAAUGAAUCAGGACUGCCACAGUAAACAUUGAAUUGGAAAAUCUGGGGUUAUUUUGGUAAAUUUGACCUAGCAACAUUGUAAACUGGACUGAGUAGCCUUCAUAAAAUUUGUAUACCUCUGUCUUAGCUUCGUAAUGGUAUAAAUUACACCCCAAUCCGAUAAUCGUAGCACCAGUUGUGUCCAAUACGGUAAAUGACGUCAAAUCUGUUUUUGGGUUUUAGUGUUUAACUUUCAUUUCCGGACUUUCCCUAGCUUACUUUGGUGCUUAUACAUUCUAAUGGAGUCUUAUUUUUGGUAGUAUGUGGAUAUGGGUUAUGACUCGUAAGCGAGUCUCAUUGUGCUUGUUUGAAUGUUUUAGGGCGUGACGGUGGUCCGAAACGCUCGUCGGGUGGGCAAGUGUGAAAAUUCUGUUUGCUUACUGGUGAGUGUACUACUCACAUGAUUGAUACUUCUUGG
RNAcentral lists this long non-coding RNA (1875 nucleotides) under Coffea arabica (coffee). RNAcentral describes it as "long non-coding RNA (CARA_LNC007186)". The record is from RNAcentral. Lineage: Eukaryota; Viridiplantae; Streptophyta; Magnoliopsida; Gentianales; Rubiaceae.